RNAcentral lists this ribosomal RNA (457 nucleotides) under uncultured bacterium. RNAcentral describes it as "bacterial SSU rRNA". It matches the Rfam family "Bacterial small subunit ribosomal RNA", at positions 335 to 784 of the family's 1533-position model. The record is from RNAcentral.
ACUCCUACGGGAGGCAGCAGUGGGGAAUAUUGCACAAUGGGGGAAACCCUGAUGCAGCCAUGCCGCGUGUGUGAAGAAGGCCUUCGGGUUGUAAAGCACUUUCAGUAGGGAGGAAGGUAGUGUAGUUAACACCUGCACUAUUUGACGUUACCUACAGAAGAAGCACCGGCUAACUCCGUGCCAGCAGCCGCGGUAAUACGGAGGGUGCGAGCGUUAAUCGGAAUUACUGGGCGUAAAGCGCAUGCAGGCGGCCUGUUAAGUCAGAUGUGAAAGCCCGGGGCUUAACCUCGGAAUUGCAUUUGAAACUGGCAGGCUAGAGUCUUGUAGAGGGGGGUAGAAUUUCAGGUGUAGCGGUGAAAUGCGUAGAGAUCUGAAGGAAUACCAGUGGCGAAGGCGGCCCCCUGGACAAAGACUGACGCUCAGAUGCGAAAGCGUGGGGAGCAAACAGGAUUAGAUA